RNAcentral lists this ribosomal RNA (429 nucleotides) under Pseudomonadota bacterium. RNAcentral's name for it is "Proteobacteria bacterium partial 16S ribosomal RNA". It matches the Rfam family "Bacterial small subunit ribosomal RNA", at positions 355 to 776 of the family's 1533-position model. Lineage: Bacteria; Pseudomonadati; Pseudomonadota. The record is from RNAcentral.
UGGGGAAUAUUGGACAAUGGGCGAAAGCCUGAUCCAGCCAUGCCGCGUGUGUGAAGAAGGUCUUCGGAUUGUAAAGCACUUUAAGUUGGGAGGAAGGGCAGUAAGCGAAUACCUUGCUGUUUUGACGUUACCGACAGAAUAAGCACCGGCUAACUCUGUGCCAGCAGCCGCGGUAAUACAGAGGGUGCAAGCGUUAAUCGGAAUUACUGGGCGUAAAGCGCGCGUAGGUGGUUCGUUAAGUUGAAUGUGAAAGCCCCGGGCUCAACCUGGGAACUGCAUCCAAAACUGGCGAGCUAGAGUAGGGCAGAGGGUGGUGGAAUUUCCUGUGUAGCGGUGAAAUGCGUAGAUAUAGGAAGGAACACCAGUGGAGAAGGCGACCACCUGGGGUCAUACUGACACUGAGGUGCGAAAGCGUGGGGAGCAAACAGG